CGUUCGGGCCGCUUCCGGUGUCCCCGUGUGCCCCGCCCCCUUCUCCCCCCCCCCUCUCGUGUCAUGGCGGCCUGGGGGGAGAAAGGCUUGAAAUACUGAGGUCUCAAAUAGAGAAUAAACGUUGAUCACUGCACAAGGCAAAUACACAUAAGUGCAUUUCUGCCUGUCGCCGUAUAGCUGCUCAAGUUUUGGGAGCUUUUGCCGGGGGGAAAGAAAAGGAAAGAAAAAACGGGGCAGACAUCAGCUCUUCAGUGCUGCUUUUAAAGUGUCAUCACUGGCUGUAGAAUAUUCUAAAAGUGAACCAGCGCCACCUCUCUCCAAAUAUCCAAUGGUUUUGGUCUGAACACCUGCAUUGAGAACUGGCUGGUGGCUGGAUCCUGUUGUGAUCAAACUUAAACUGAGGAGGGGUAUUGAUCCACUGUUGAAGUCCUCCAUUUUUCAUCGUUAAUUGGAAAAGCAAGCCAAGAUGGAGGGGGGUGCUCUUUCGAGAGCUGUGAGGAGAAAUUUCAACAGCAAGAAUUCAAAGGAAGAGACAAAUGUGUUUG
Podarcis muralis (Common wall lizard) is the source of this 545-nucleotide non-coding RNA. Lineage: Eukaryota; Metazoa; Chordata; Lepidosauria; Squamata; Lacertidae. The record is from RefSeq and is a predicted model, not a curated record.